Molecule: long non-coding RNA, 911 nt
Organism: Octopus bimaculoides (California two-spot octopus)
Lineage: Eukaryota; Metazoa; Mollusca; Cephalopoda; Octopoda; Octopodidae
Source: RefSeq, a predicted model, not a curated record
GCUUGUUUGAGUCUAGAAUGGAGCUAGUUGUUUCAUUGUGAGACGAAGGUAAAAAAGACAAAGGAAAAAGUUGAUGGGUGCUCAAAAGAUAUCAAAAUAUAUUACCAGUGAAAUAAAAACAUCAAUCAUGUCAUUUAAGCAGUCAAGUCAAACAAGAAGUGGCAAAAAAUAUAACUAACUUUGAAAUGCCUGUUAAAAAGCGAAGAAUAAUACCGAAUGUGGAACAUGAGUUGACUGAACUAACUAGAAUCCCCAGAAAAUCCAGCAUUAUUAGAAAGUAUAAUGCAUUAGCAAAAGUUAAAAAAUCCAGACAUGCAAGAAAUCAGCUCAUUGCUCAGGAACUAGAGAAUCUAUGGAAAAAAUUUGAUUUUCCGUGUAUAACAUUUAAGUCUAUUGUAAGAAAAGUAAAUACUCUGUUGACAAGGCAUGAUACCCAUUUGAAACGUCCGAGACUAGGUGAAAACUUUGAAGAUUUGUUUGUCGUUACUAAUCAACAUGGCAAUUGGUUAUCUAAAGAAGACAAAGACUUUUACAGUACACAAAUUCAAAGUGGCGGUAUAACAUCUCGGUUAGCUAUGGUUCAUCCUUCAAAGUGAACACCUUCCUCGUCAAGAGUGUCAGCUUCAACUUCACAAGCUGAAGCAGGUAAAGUAACAUACCUAAAAAAUUCUCAAAUAUUACACAAAUUUUUUUGUAUGCAUUGAUGACACUAAUAUGUUUCCAACUUCUUGCAGAUACAUCAUCAUCAUCAUCAUCAUCAUCAUCAGAAACCCCUACUUCUGAUUCUGCAAAGGAAAUCACAUUACCAAUAGACAAACAAGUUGGCAUCUCUAUACAACAACAUCACUCAACUCAGAAAGUAACGAACUUGCUGAAAAAAAAAAAAAAAAAAGAAUUUAAGCAGUCAUAAA